Molecule: ribosomal RNA, 465 nt
Filed under: uncultured bacterium
Lineage: Bacteria
Description: partial 16S ribosomal RNA
Rfam family: Bacterial small subunit ribosomal RNA
Source: RNAcentral
GACGAACGCUGGCGGCGUGCUUAACACAUGCAAGUCGAGCGGAAAGGCCCCUUUUGGGGUACUCGAUUGGCUGACGGGUGAGUAACACAUGAGUAACCUGCCCUUGACUGCGGGAUAACUUCAUGAAACUGGGGCUAAUACCGGCUAGGAAUCCUUGCUGCAUGGUGGGGGGUGGAAGGCUUCUGCGGUUUUGGAGGGACUCGCUGCUUAUCUGCUUGUUGGUGGGGUAGUGGCUUACCAAGGCUUUGACGGGUAGACGGCCUGAGAGGGUGACCGGCCACAUAGGGACUGUGAUACGCGCCCGACUCCUACGGGGGGCAGCAGUGGGGAGUAUUGCACAAUGGGCGGAAGCCUGAUGCAGCAACGCGGCGUGCGGGGUGAGGGGCCUUGGGUUGUAAAAAGCUUUCAGCAGGGGCGCGGCUUGUGGGGACGGUAAAUGGAGAAGAAGCACCGGCUAACUACGUG